AUCUCAGCAGGUUGGAGACCUCUCUCAUAAUAUUCCUGGAAUCCUGGAGCCCUGGGCUAUGCUGGUGCUUGGUCACGUCAAGGUUCCGCGUGCCACCCUCGGAGCGAGUGAGCUGGGAGUCAGGACGCACCGUGACCCCCGCCCCCGCGCGGCGCACGUGUGGAGCUGCUUUCAGGGCAGCCCGGCAGCCUGGCCCCUGACUCGGAGUCCUGGCCUGGUGACGAUGCACGGCUCCUUCCCAGCGCCUCCCCUCCCUUCCUAUCGCCGCUUUGCUUUGGCAGGUGUGAAAUAUUAAUUGCUUCACUGGGGACUGGGCUUUUGCUGUCUGCAGUGUCUGACCAGAAUAUCAUUCUUCCCGCA
This 360-nucleotide long non-coding RNA is filed under the name Fukomys damarensis (Damara mole-rat). RNAcentral's name for it is "lncRNA (ENSFDAG00000033040.1)". Lineage: Eukaryota; Metazoa; Chordata; Mammalia; Rodentia; Bathyergidae. The record is from RNAcentral.